Molecule: ribosomal RNA, 253 nt
Filed under: uncultured bacterium
Lineage: Bacteria
Description: partial 16S ribosomal RNA
Rfam family: Bacterial small subunit ribosomal RNA
Source: RNAcentral
UACGUAGGGUGCGGGCGUUAAUCGGAAUUACUGGGCGUAAAGCGUGCGCAGGCGGCCUCUUAAGUCAGAUGUGAAAUCCCCGGGCUUAACCUGGGAACUGCGUUUGAAACUGGGAGGCUAGAGUGUGGAAGAGGGGGGUGGAAUUCCAGGUGUAGCAGUGAAAUGCGUAGAUAUGUGGAGGAACACCGAUGGCGAAGGCAGCCCCCUGGGAUGUGACUGACGCUCAUGUACGAAAGCGUGGGGAGCAAACAGG